RNAcentral lists this ribosomal RNA (798 nucleotides) under Salmonella enterica subsp. enterica serovar Typhimurium. Its description in RNAcentral is "partial 23S ribosomal RNA". It matches the Rfam family "Bacterial large subunit ribosomal RNA", at positions 200 to 1035 of the family's 2925-position model. The record is from RNAcentral. Lineage: Bacteria; Pseudomonadati; Pseudomonadota; Gammaproteobacteria; Enterobacterales; Enterobacteriaceae.
AUCUAAGUACCCCGAGGAAAAGAAAUCAACCGAGAUUCCCCCAGUAGCGGCGAGCGAACGGGGAGGAGCCCAGAGCCUGAAUCAGCAUGUGUGUUAGUGGAAGCGUCUGGAAAGGCGCGCGAUACAGGGUGACAGCCCCGUACACAAAAGCGCAUGUGCUGUGAGCUCGAUGAGUAGGGCGGGACACGUGGUAUCCUGUCUGAAUAUGGGGGGACCAUCCUCCAAGGCUAAAUACUCCUGACUGACCGAUAGUGAACCAGUACCGUGAGGGAAAGGCGAAAAGAACCCCGGCGAGGGGAGUGAAAAAGAACCUGAAACCGUGUACGUACAAGCAGUGGGAGCACAGGUUUACCUGUGUGACUGCGUACCUUUUGUAUAAUGGGUCAGCGACUUAUAUUCUGUAGCAAGGUUAACCGUAUAGGGGAGCCGGAGGGAAACCGAGUCUUAAUUGGGCGUUAAGUUGCAGGGUAUAGACCCGAAACCCGGUGAUCUAGCCAUGGGCAGGUUGAAGGUUGGGUAACACUAACUGGAGGACCGAACCGACUAAUGUUGAAAAAUUAGCGGAUGACCUGUGGCUGGGGGUGAAAGGCCAAUCAAACCGGGAGAUAGCUGGUUCUCCCCGAAAGCUAUUUAGGUAGCGCCUCGUGAAUUCAUCUCCGGGGGUAGAGCACUGUUUCGGCUAGGGGGCCAUCCCGGCUUACCAACCCGAUGCAAACUGCGAAUACCGGAGAAUGUUAUCACGGGAGACACACGGCGGGUGCUAACGUCCGUCGUGAAGAGGGAAACAACCCAGACCGC